This 222-nucleotide ribosomal RNA is filed under the name uncultured bacterium. RNAcentral describes it as "partial 16S ribosomal RNA". It matches the Rfam family "Bacterial small subunit ribosomal RNA", at positions 57 to 305 of the family's 1533-position model. The record is from RNAcentral.
GCAAGUCGAACGGGCGUAGCAAUACGUCAGUGGCAGACGGGUGAGUAACACGUGGGAACGUACCUUUUGGUUCGGAACAACACAGGGAAACUUGUGCUAAUACCGGAUAAGCCCUUACGGGGAAAGAUUUAUCGCCGAAAGAUCGGCCCGCGUCUGAUUAGCUAGUUGGUGAGGUAAUGGCUCACCAAGGCGACGAUCAGUAGCUGGUCUGAGAGGAUGAUC